This is a long non-coding RNA of Eucalyptus grandis, 249 nucleotides long. RefSeq lists it as uncharacterized. The record is from RefSeq and is a predicted model, not a curated record. Lineage: Eukaryota; Viridiplantae; Streptophyta; Magnoliopsida; Myrtales; Myrtaceae. The transcript is spliced from 2 exons.
GCUUCUACAUUCUUUUGCAAUUUCUUAAGCUCUCACCUCAAGAGUCUUCACAAGAUCCCAUCUACCAUGUUCUGCUGCAGCAUUCUAGCUAAGGAGGUGAAGUCCAAAUGUCCGAGGAUUACACAUGCAGAUCUAUACCAGGUGAAAAGACUGUGUAAAGGAUUGGUUCUUCUGUCUUACAUAUCACGAGUUGGCUCCCCAAAUAGGCGGACAAAAUCAUUGUUGAUAUAACAAGCUUAGUUUGAAAAA